Molecule: ribosomal RNA, 527 nt
Filed under: Entamoeba coli
Lineage: Eukaryota; Evosea; Mastigamoebida; Endamoebidae
Description: SSU rRNA
Rfam family: Eukaryotic small subunit ribosomal RNA
Source: RNAcentral
UAAGCAUAAAGUCCUAGUAAGAUGAAGCUGCGAACGGCUCAUUACAACAGUUAUAAUCUUUUUGAUGAAAUACGUACAAGGAUAUCUUUGAGAAUGUCAAAGCUAAUACUUGACGGGUAACGCCUUCAGUCGAGUGUAUUCCUCCGGGAGUAUAAUCUACUGAGGAGGGGAGGAUCCUAUGGUCCUUUCAAUAUAUUACCACUUCUUUGUGAAUAAGGGUGGAUUAUAUGCCAAGAGAAUUGUAGAAAUCGAGAGAUUUUCACAAGUCAUCAUUAAGAAUAUCUGACCUAUCAACUGGUUGUUGGUAAGGUAGUGGCUUACCAAGGUGAUAACGGGUAACGAGGAAUAAGGGUUCGACAUCGGAGAGGGAGCUUUAGAAAUGGCUACCACUUCUAAGGAAGGCAGCAGGCGCAAAAAUUACCCAAUCUUAACAACUGAAUGAGGUAGUGACGACAAUUAACGCUUUCCCUCCCAUUACAUGAGGAUUGCCGGAAUGAUCACGACAUAAACCAUCGUGAGAAAGCGCU